GGCGCGCAACGUUAUAUAGUGAUAUUUUGUUUCCAUUCAAACCUUCUUCUUUCAAGCGGCAAUGAUGCUGAACUCGAAUCUACAGAAAUAGAAAUAUUCGGAUUUUUAUAUAUAUAUAGAAAUAUGGAAAAAAAAAUCAGGAGGAAGUUUUCUUAGGAAAAAAGAAGAUUUUUGGAAGUUUGCUUUUUAGUAUACACGAUGUGUUUUGGAAAGAAGAACAGAUCAUUAAUAUUAAAAGAGGAUGCCUUUUUGAUAUGGAUAUUUCAUUAAAUAAUUGUUAGCGGGACCAAGAUGUCAGUGGUGAAUAUUAUUUCUUCUUCCUGACCUCCAGCAUCAAUGGAGCAGCACCACCCCUCUGCUGGGGUACCUAGGGGUGCAGGGGCUACGCAAGUCAGACGAGAACUUAGCUUGGACUCGCAAUGCCAAAGUUCAGAUAACUGUUGGAAAUUUGUAACAAGCUCCAGUAGGAACUUGGGUAUCGUCUACUGAAAUCCAGCGUGUUUUGACAGCAAAUUCUGUGACCAAGUUGGCAACACUGAAGACUUUUUGGGAUGCUCCAGGAGCAGGUUCGGAUGACGUACGAACAUUCUGAGAAAUUUAACCAGAAAAUUCCAGAAAUCUCCUUCCUAAAAAGCUAGGUGCAGUGAUGUAAAGUCCGACAAGGAUUAGAAAAUAGUUUAGUUCUGAACUCAAAAGUUGUUUCACUAUAAAAUGUUUACUGUGAGCAUUUCGUAAACCUUAACAUAAUAUAGCUUUAGCAGUUCUGUAUUUUUUAAAUUUGACAUGAGAAAUAUUCCACAGCACAUAAUUCUGUAUUUUUGCAACACUACGUAUCGUUUCAAUAAAAAUGUUGGCUGUUU
Stegodyphus dumicola is the source of this 860-nucleotide long non-coding RNA. RefSeq lists it as uncharacterized. The record is from RefSeq and is a predicted model, not a curated record. Lineage: Eukaryota; Metazoa; Arthropoda; Arachnida; Araneae; Eresidae.